RNAcentral lists this long non-coding RNA (617 nucleotides) under Sorghum bicolor (sorghum). RNAcentral describes it as "long non-coding RNA (SBIC_LNC005535)". The record is from RNAcentral. Lineage: Eukaryota; Viridiplantae; Streptophyta; Magnoliopsida; Poales; Poaceae.
CCAAUACAAGCGAGGCACACAUGUAUAAAAGACAGUUGCUUAUUUAGUUAGCAUUGGUCCGUAAUCCAAUCAUGUCCUAUUAUUAUCUAACAUCUACAAUUCCUCCCCAUAUCAGCGGCUAAUCAACUCUCCCACUCCAGUAUAUGUGCACAACUAGACAUGUUUAACCAUGGGUCUACCCGGCCGCAAUGUGUAUACGUCGUGCUAAUGUUCUACUCCCUCCAUCCCAAAUUAUAAGUCAUUUCAAGAAUCUUGGAGAGUCAAAGCAUUUUUACGUUUGACCAAAAUUAUAGAGAAAAAUACUAAGAUUUGUAACGUAAAGUGAAUAUACUAUGAAAAUAUAAUUAAGAAAGAAUCUAAUGAUACUUAGUUAGUACCAUAAUAAUUAUUAUUUUAUAAUAUAAAUUUGGUCAAACUUAGAAAAGUUUGACUCUCCAAGAUUCUUGGAAUGACUUACAAUUUGGGAUGGAGGGAGUAGAUGCGUUGGUAAGGAAUGCAAGCCAAAGUAUAGUGGCAACAGCUACAUGAGCUGCAACAUCCUCAGGCGCUGCUCGUGCUUUGGGUCCAUCUUGGGUGGCAUCGAGUAACCCCUUUAAGGUCCUUCACCACGUACACCU